GUCUCCGUGGUCUUGUGGUUAAGGAGUUGGCGUUCUAAGCCAAUGAACCAGGUUCGAAUACCGGCGGAGAUG
RNAcentral lists this transfer RNA (72 nucleotides) under Strongylocentrotus purpuratus (purple sea urchin). It matches the Rfam family "tRNA". Rfam says of the family: Transfer RNA (tRNA) molecules are approximately 80 nucleotides in length. Lineage: Eukaryota; Metazoa; Echinodermata; Echinoidea; Camarodonta; Strongylocentrotidae. The record is from Rfam by way of RNAcentral.